RNAcentral lists this ribosomal RNA (894 nucleotides) under Triticum aestivum (bread wheat). RNAcentral's name for it is "partial small subunit ribosomal RNA". Lineage: Eukaryota; Viridiplantae; Streptophyta; Magnoliopsida; Poales; Poaceae. The record is from RNAcentral.
AUGGAGGCAUCAGCCGGCAGAUCAACGAGCACAGAGACGCAGGCGCCCAAGGAAUUGGAGAUGUCGGCGCCGAUGGAUCGGGAUGGUACCCACGAGGAGCAGGUGCCGCAGACCGAGUCUGAAUUCAAAUCAGAGAUGGGGGCAGGGUCAGUGAUGGGUUCAGACACCAACGAGGGGACGUCCACCAUCAAAUCAGCCGAGUUGAUAAUUGAACCUGCAGAUCGCAGCCCCAGCAAUACAAUUGCCAGAUUGGAACAGUGCUCCGUCCAAGAUGAUACCGAUCAUGGCAGGAUGGACAGAGGCAAAUCAGGCACACUGUUGACCAUGAAUGAGAAGGAUAAGGCCGCUGAGGAGAUGGCUCACGAGGCGGAGAUGUUCGCUUUGUACAUUGAGAGUUGGGAAUCUGAAUGGAGCAAAACCUGCGGUUCCUUCACAGACCAAACGGUGCUGAGUUCCACGUGUUUUGUGCACUAUACACCUGGACGCAUGCCACGGAUCCGUUGUGGGUCUACCCCCGACACCUUGCAGGUCUUCUCCGUCAAGCUUGCAGAAAUAACCGGUGGCCUCCAGUGGCCAUUGUCUGUGUAUGGCGUGGUUGCCGCACGAGACACCGUGGAUCACAACCGCAACCUUAUCUUCUCUUGCGAUAGGAGCCACGCCCAAGAACUGAAACAGGAUGAUAAUUUUUUGCACUUGAUUGGCCCGUUCCGUGCAAUUGUGUUUGAGGACAUGCUCGACUUCGAAAUCCAACUAAAAGUGAAAGGUACAACCCAGUCUGAAGAUGAAGCAUUGAUCAGACAUGUAUGCAGUUACGCGGGAGGAGGAUACGGCCCUGGUGUAACUAUUGGGAACUGUUUUUGCAAACUAGAGUUAUGCCUGCAGCGAGUUACUUGA